RNAcentral lists this ribosomal RNA (253 nucleotides) under uncultured bacterium. RNAcentral's name for it is "partial 16S ribosomal RNA". It matches the Rfam family "Bacterial small subunit ribosomal RNA", at positions 524 to 776 of the family's 1533-position model. The record is from RNAcentral.
UACGUAGGGUGCGAGCGUUAAUCGGAAUUACUGGGCGUAAAGCGUGCGCAGGCGGCUUUGCAAGACAGAUGUGAAAUCCCCGGGCUCAACCUGGGAAUGGCAUUGGUGACUGCACGGCUAGAGUGUGUAAGAGGGGGAUGGAAUUCCGCGUGUAGCAGUGAAAUGCGUAGAUAUGCGGAGGAACACCAAUGGCGAAGGCAAUCCCCUGGGCCUGUACUGACGCUCAUGCACGAAAGCGUGGGGAGCAGACAGG